UAUUUUAAUAGCUUAUAUUUAAAGUUUAAUAUUGAAGAUAUUAAGAGGACUUAUGUCUUAAAAUAUU
RNAcentral lists this transfer RNA (67 nucleotides) under Cautires berembanensis. RNAcentral's name for it is "tRNA-Phe". The record is from RNAcentral. Lineage: Eukaryota; Metazoa; Arthropoda; Insecta; Coleoptera; Lycidae.